Molecule: ribosomal RNA, 492 nt
Filed under: uncultured bacterium
Lineage: Bacteria
Description: bacterial SSU rRNA
Rfam family: Bacterial small subunit ribosomal RNA
Source: RNAcentral
AAAUGAAUUGACGGGGGCCCGCACAAGCAGUGGAGUAUGUGGUUUAAUUCGACGCAACGCGAAGAACCUUACCAGGGUUUGACAUCCUCUGACAGCUAUAGAGAUAUAGCAUUCUCUUCGGAGACAGAGAGACAGGUGGUGCAUGGUUGUCGUCAGCUCGUGUCGUGAGAUGUUGGGUUAAGUCCCGCAACGAGCGCAACCCCUAUUGCCAGUUACCAUCAUUAAGUUGGGGACUCUGGCGAGACCGCCGUUGACAAAACGGAGGAAGGUGGGGAUGACGUCAAAUCAUCAUGCCCCUUACGUCCUGGGCUACACACGUACUACAAUGGUAGGAACAAUGGGCAGCGAAACCGCGAGGUGGAGCGAAUCCCCAAAUCCUAUCUCAGUUCAGAUUGCAGGCUGAAACUCGCCUGCAUGAAGCAGGAAUUGCUAGUAAUGGCAGGUCAGCAUACUGCCGUGAAUACGUUCCCGGGCCUUGUACACACCGCCCGU